UACGGGGAGGGCAAGCAUUGUUCGGAAUUACUGGGCGUAAAGGGCUCGUAGGCGGCCAACUAAGUCAGACGUGAAAUCCCUCGGCUUAACCGGGGAACUGCGUCUGAUACUGGAUGGCUUGAAUCCGGGAGAGGGAUGCGGAAUUCCAGGUGUAGCGGUGAAAUGCGUAGAUAUCUGGAGGAACACCGGUGGCGAAGGCGGCAUCCUGGACCGGCAUUGACGCUGAGGAGCGAAAGCCAGGGGAGCAAACGGG
Molecule: ribosomal RNA, 253 nt
Filed under: uncultured bacterium
Lineage: Bacteria
Description: partial 16S ribosomal RNA
Rfam family: Bacterial small subunit ribosomal RNA
Source: RNAcentral